GACGAACGCUGGCGGCGUGCUUAACACAUGCAAGUCGAACGGAAAGGCCCUGCUUUGGUGGGGUGCUCGAGUGGCGAACGGGUGAGUAACACGUGAGUAACCUGCCCUUGACUUUGGGAUAACUUCAGGAAACUGGGUCUAAUACCGGAUAGGAGUUCCUGCUGCAUGGUGGGGGUUGGAAAGUUUAGGCGGUUGGGGAUGGACUCGCGGCCUAUCAGCUUGUUGGUGGGGUAGUGGCUUACCAAGGCCUUGACGGGUGGCCUGGCUGGGAGGGUGACCUGCCACAUUGGGACUGGGAUGCGGCACAGACUCCUACGGGAGGCAGCAGUGGGGAAUAGUGCACAAUGGGCGGAAGCCUGAUGCAGCAACGCCGCGUGGGGGAUGACGGCCUUCGGGUUGUAAUCCGCUUUCACCUGUGACGAAGCGUUAGUGACGGUAAUGGGUGAAGAAGCACCGGCUAACUACGUG
Molecule: ribosomal RNA, 468 nt
Filed under: uncultured bacterium
Lineage: Bacteria
Description: partial 16S ribosomal RNA
Rfam family: Bacterial small subunit ribosomal RNA
Source: RNAcentral